This is a long non-coding RNA of Homo sapiens (human), 804 nucleotides long. The record is from Ensembl. NCBI's taxonomy places the organism in Eukaryota, Metazoa, Chordata, Mammalia, Primates, Hominidae.
GGAUCUCUUCCGGUUAUGGCGCCCGCUGGGAGUGUCUUAUCAGCCGCUUAUACCGCGGAAACUUUAACCUGCGUUUUCCCGUAAAAUUUUCCUCUCUAGAUUUUGAUUCAGAGUCAUCGAUGUCUUCACACCACCCUCUGUGGCAUGAACAGAGAUGGUAAUGAAGCAUUUCUUAGAAAACAAGGCUGGACCACUGUCUGUGUGAUUUCCACCUUUCUUGCUGACACCAUUCUGCAUGUUUUGAUUACCUCCAGGUCAAGAAGAGUGAGGAUAGCCUCUGUGUCUGAGGAGGUCCCUGUGCAUUAUGAGGAAUUGGUUCUAGGAAGAAGGGAGAGUGAAGAGGAACAGAGAGGACCCUCCAGAUCCAGUACGGGCCAACUAAGGGAACUUGGAUGCUCCUGUUCAUGUCCCUUUCUCCAUCACUGAGACUCGCCCCAUCCCACCCUGAAUGCAGGUUCCUUUCCCCUCGGUUAUUUUGUGCGUCUCAGAUGAUGACAUGUAUUGUAACUUUAUUCUAUCACAUAUGACUUUUACAUUAUAUCAUAGAAAAAGUUACUUACAUAAAUUACUUAAUGGUGGAUUAGUCAUAGUUAAAAUGUUGUCAGCUUGGUAAACAAAUGAAAUUAUCACACUUUAGUUUUUCUUCGUUGAUCAUUUAUGAAGAUUAGUGUCUCCUCAUUUCAUGGAUGUCACAACUACAUGUUCUUAAGUAAGGUGUAUGCUUGGGGUGUUGUGUUUUCCCUGUUAAUGUUGGAUACUCCAGUGUUCAGCAAACUAUAAACCUAUCAACACACAUUUGAAAAA